RNAcentral lists this long non-coding RNA (212 nucleotides) under Panax ginseng (ginseng). RNAcentral's name for it is "long non-coding RNA (PGIN_LNC013903)". The record is from RNAcentral. Lineage: Eukaryota; Viridiplantae; Streptophyta; Magnoliopsida; Apiales; Araliaceae.
UCCGGUACCCAAAACUUUGCCAUUAAAGUCCCCGUCUAUAUAUUGUAAGAGGGAACUGGGUUAUAACAUUCGGUGUAACAAAUGGGCAUGGAAUUUUAAUUAUUUUUAUUUAUUAUCUAGAAAUAUCAAAAAUACAUUCAAGAUUAAAUGUUAUAUAUGUAUAUGAUGUUCUUAUUUCUUUAUUGAAGGCCGAGUAUGGACUAAAUCUUUAC